GGUUGUGGCUCAGUGGUAAAGUGCUUGCCUUGAAUGUGUGUGGCACUGGGUUCAAUUUUCAGCACCA
This 67-nucleotide transfer RNA is filed under the name Marmota monax (woodchuck). Its description in RNAcentral is "tRNA.Ser". The record is from RNAcentral. Lineage: Eukaryota; Metazoa; Chordata; Mammalia; Rodentia; Sciuridae.